GGCAGAAGCAGACCCCCACUGAGCAGGGAGCCCCAUGUGGGGCUUGAUCCCAGGACCUUGAGAUCAUGACUUGAGCUGAAGGCAGACACUUAAUUGACUGAGCCAGUCAGGCACCCCACAUCUAUUAUUAAACUCAACCGUAAUCACACCAAUUGUUUAGAAUUUAGACAACCAACAAAAUGUUUUUCGGGAAGGAGUAUUCUGUCAUUGGAUUGUUUAGAAUUGCUGGUGGAUGGUGACAAUAAAAAGCAGGCUGACUUUAAGUCCGUUUUAUUACUUCUUAAUAACUCCUUCACAGAUUAUGCACUCCUUACUGCCAGCCACCGAGGUUGAAGAGAUUUAAGUGAACAUGUGGGACUUCUGCAGUCUGCUUACAGGCAACUGACUCAGUUGAGAGGAAUAUUCUUUCUUGCUCUCUUUCUUUCAUCUCUGCAGUGUGUUAGGUGGACAUGAUGGGUAGAGCUCUAGCACCUUCUUCCAUCAUGAAGGGAACUUGAGGGUGGAAACUAGUGAUAGGAUAGAGCAGCAAAAUUGAGGACCCAGGUCCCUGCUUGUGGGGAAGAAGAGAAUCCCCUCUCAUUGGGUUAGGAUGAAACCCAUGACUUGCUUCUUCUAAUCAAUGGAAUAUGGUGGAGAUGGGAUAUCACUCCCAAAAUAAUACUUCAUUAUAUGGCAAAGGUGAAAGAAUUCUGUAGAUGUAAUUAAGGUCCCUAAUCAGUUGACUUUGAGUUCAUCAGAAGGGAGAUUAUUCUGGGUAGACUUGCCCUAAUCAGGUGAAUCUUUAAAAGAGGGCCUAUGCCUUCCCUGAAUUCAGAGACUCCAAGCAGCAGAGACUCUUUUCUCUCUGUUGCUGGCCUUGAAAAAGUAAUGCUCCACGAAUGUUACAGCCACAAAGAAAUGAAUUCUGCCAACAAUUCAAUUCUGGGGAGCUUGAAAGUGGAUUUUUCCCCCUAGUCUCCUGAUGAUGAUGUAGCCUAGCUGACACCUUGAUUUCAGCCUUGUGAGGCCACGCAGCUACGCCCAGGUCAGACUGUUCACUCACAGACACUGGGAGGUAAUAGAAGUGUGUUGUUUCAAGCUGUUGAGUUAGUGCUAGUGUGUUAUGUAGCAUAGAACACUAAUACAUUGAUGUCCGUGUUGUCACUGUAACAGCCCAGGAGUGCCUACCUCCAGGCUCCUUUUACGUGAGCAAGAAUUAAAUUUCUCACUUCUUCAAACCAUUAUAAUUUUAGAUUUUCAUUUAUAGGCAGCUGACCCUCACCUUUACUGAUUCAUGGAGAAAUGAGAAAGAGUUUAUAGAAGAUGAGUCAUUUGUGGUUGAUCUUAAAAGUGGAUACAAUUUCAGAAGGUGGAAACUGGGGUGUCUGGAGGUAGAAAAUAAUUUUCAUGGGACAGAGUGAAUAAGAAUACAUCGGAGGUGUUUUGAAGAAAUAAAGAAUAAUUCAGUUUCACUAGGUUGAAUGAGAUGAGGUUGGAAAGGUAGAUAAGAGCUGAAUCACAAAGCCAGAAGCUCUUGGAGAUUAUUUUCAAGCAAUGGAGAGCAAUGGAGGUUUUCUGACUGGGAUGGUAGCAUAAGCGGAGCUACGCCUUAUUUUAGAAACACAGUAUGAGUCAGUUCUCUUCACGUUGCAGAAACAUAUCUCAAAGUAGAUUUUGUCUCAAAGAGAUUUAUGGGAAGAGAAAUUGGGGAAGAGAAACAGGAACUUAAAACAGGAGCCAAGGACCUCAGCAACCAGAACAAAAGACUCACGCCUUAAGGUCUCUUUGUCUUGACUUCAUUCUCUGCUGCAAGAGGCUUCUCAUGGCUGCAGCAUUGCCCCUUAUAGUGGCCCACCUAAGGGGGAAGAAGUGACUUCCCUUCCAGCUCUGGUUGAAGAUAUCUCUGCUGGAAGAUGCACUUUGAAUGGACAACCUUGGAAUAAUGCCAAAGGCCAGCGGGAAGGAUAUGAUGAUUGGCCUGAGUGUAAGUGUGUGUGUGUGCGCAUGUGGUGUCUGCUACUAGAAAAAGGAGCCUGGCGAAUCAAAACAAAAUGUUUAUAUGGGCCUCAUCCAAUCAAUGGAAGGUCAAACGAACAAAACACUGAGGUUUCUCAAAGAAGAAGGAAUUCCAUCUCAAGGCUUGGGUUUCCAGCUUGCCGGCUCUACAGAAAUUUUGGACUUACCAGCCCCCACAAUCAUAUUCUCAUGAGCCAUGGACCUCUGGGGCCAUUGUGACUUCCAACAAGAUCAGGCACAUAGCAGGCACUUGUGCCCACAUGUGUCCUUCCUCUCGUGGAUCCACCGUCCCACGGGAGCUGCGGGGAGACUCCACAGUGGCUGUUUGAGUUGGUGCUCUUGCUGCUCUGCCCUCUUGAGGCCUGGUUCUUCAUCAUUUCCUGGCUUAGGCUCCCUGGUUGGGCACAGAGAGGAAGUCACUGUCUUUGGAUUUUCAGGACACCUAGAGUUUCCUUAGACUCCCUUUAUGCCGCCUCACCUCUGCCCACUGCUACCUAGACUCUCCCUCCCAGGUGUUGUCACUGGCUGAACUUAUAGUUUGGAAUAAAACUAAGCAAUU
Ailuropoda melanoleuca (giant panda) is the source of this 2554-nucleotide long non-coding RNA. RefSeq lists it as uncharacterized. The record is from RefSeq and is a predicted model, not a curated record. NCBI's taxonomy places the organism in Eukaryota, Metazoa, Chordata, Mammalia, Carnivora, Ursidae. The transcript has 4 exons.